GAUGAACGCUGGCGGCGUGCCUUAUACAUGCAAGUCGAGCGAACAGACGAGGAGCUUGCUCCUCUGACGUUAGCGGCGGACGGGUGAGUAACACGUGGAUAACCUACCUAUAAGACUGGGAUAACUUCGGGAAACCGGAGCUAAUACCGGAUAAUAUAUUGAACCGCAUGGUUCAAUAGUGAAAGACGGUUUUGCUGUCACUUAUAGAUGGAUCCGCGCCGCAUUAGCUAGUUGGUAAGGUAACGGCUUACCAAGGCAACGAUGCGUAGCCGACCUGAGAGGGUGAUCGGCCACACUGGAACUGAGACACGGUCCAGACUCCUACGGGAGGCAGCAGUAGGGAAUCUUCCGCAAUGGGCGAAAGCCUGACGGGGCAACGCCGCGUGAGUGAUGAAGGUCUUCGGAUCGUAAAACUCUGUUACUAGGGAAGAACAAAUGUGUAAGUAACUAUGCACGUCUUGACGGUACCUAAUCAGAAAGCCACGGCUAACUACGUG
This 497-nucleotide ribosomal RNA is filed under the name uncultured bacterium. RNAcentral's name for it is "partial 16S ribosomal RNA". It matches the Rfam family "Bacterial small subunit ribosomal RNA", at positions 28 to 507 of the family's 1533-position model. The record is from RNAcentral.